Molecule: ribosomal RNA, 253 nt
Filed under: uncultured bacterium
Lineage: Bacteria
Description: partial 16S ribosomal RNA
Rfam family: Bacterial small subunit ribosomal RNA
Source: RNAcentral
UACGGAGGGUGCAAGCGUUAGUCGGAAUUAUUGGGCGUAAAGGGUGCGUAGGCGGAAAUGCAAGUCAGACGUGAAAUUCCGAGGCUUAACCUCGGAGCGGCAUCUGAAACUGCAUUUCUAGCGGAAUGGCGGAGAAAACGGAAUUCCACGUGUAGCGGUGAAAUGCGUAGAUAUGUGGAAGAACACCUGUGGCGAAAGCGGUUUUCUAGCCUACUCCGGACGCUGAGGCACGAAAGCAAGGGGAUCAAACAGG